RNAcentral lists this long non-coding RNA (1229 nucleotides) under Equus caballus (horse). RNAcentral describes it as "lncRNA (ENSECAG00000051769.1)". The record is from RNAcentral. Lineage: Eukaryota; Metazoa; Chordata; Mammalia; Perissodactyla; Equidae.
GGCAAAAUCCCAGGGAGGGUAGGGACUUUCAGACCCGAGGACAGAAAGGACAACACGGCUGGGACGGGGGGAGGUAUUCAAUGAGGUUGGAGAGAUGGUUAGUUCACACGAGGCCUUUUAGGAUUUUCUUCCACCAAUACCAAGAAACCAUUGAACUGUUGUUUAGGAAAGGGAUCAAAGAAAGCAAUAUAGAAUAUUUAAUUUUAUAGGCCAAAGGUCUUUUCAGUAUUAAAAAGUGAGUUUAAAUAAUGAACAAUGAUCUUACAACAGGUUAUUUUGCUCAAUGAGCAGAUUGUGAUGGCUUUAGACCAGUUUUCAAAAUAAAUCUAACUGAUCGAGAUUAGGGCCUUAAUUAAAAGCAGUAUUUAAGAUACAUACACUGGGUUUAGAUGACUUUUUGCUUUGGGGAUCCGUACGUACCUUUUAAGUCCAUACUACUGGUUUAGGCAGAAACCAUCACAUUGUCAUGUCAUCAUAGGACAACAUUUAAUCUCAACCCCCGAGGUAUUGUGUGCCCUCCAGGGAAGAUUAAUAACUUCUCAUUUAUCAGACUUAAAAGGGAAAGGUUGCUUUUGGUUGUGAAUAACAGAGCCUUAAACACAUAUGAGUUUACUCGUACUAUUAUCAUUAUUAUUUUUGCUUCAUGAAGCAAGUCCAGAGUAGGCGGUGGUUCAGAGGCUGAAAUUUUAUCUGAGUCCACUUCUUUCAAUUCUCUUGAUUUCCUCUUUCAUGGUCCCUGAAUGGCUGCUGCAGCUCCUGUCCACACGUCUGCAAUCCAGGCAAGAAGAGAAAGCGGAGGUAGAAAGGAGUGGUGUCUGUACCAGGAAAUCAGAGAUGGUCUUGGACAUCACAGAAGUCUUCUGCUUAUAUCUCUGCCUUGAACUGUGUCAUAGGGUCACCUUUUUUAGUAGCAAGGCAGUCAGAAAAGAUUUCGGCGAUUGGAGUCACCCAUACAGCCAUCCAUUUAAAUGAUCUUCAUACUUGAGAGGACGAGGUACCUGGCUUCACUCGGCCGUGUAAUAAAGCAUCCUGACGCAUGAGCACAGUCGCUUCUGGGUGAGUCGGGCUCUUUGGCUGAACCUCAGCUUGUGUAUUUUCAUGUAACUUCAGGGUAUUGUCCCUGUGAUUUAUUCUUGGAUGGAAAAGAAGAUACAGACUCCUAGAUUUUAUAGUAUCUGGAAAUGCCUUUAAAAGGGAAAAGAAAAGCAGGUAAGUGGCUAGAAUUAUAA